This 483-nucleotide ribosomal RNA is filed under the name uncultured bacterium. RNAcentral describes it as "partial 16S ribosomal RNA". It matches the Rfam family "Bacterial small subunit ribosomal RNA", at positions 355 to 830 of the family's 1533-position model. The record is from RNAcentral.
UAGGGAAUCUUCCACAAUGGACGCAAGUCUGAUGGAGCAACGCCGCGUGAGUGAAGAAGGUCUUCGGAUCGUAAAGCUCUGUUGUUGGUGAAGAAGGAUAGAGGCAGUAACUGGUCUUUAUUUGACGGUAAUCAACCAGAAAGUCACGGCUAACUACGUGCCAGCAGCCGCGGUAAUACGUAGGUGGCAAGCGUUGUCCGGAUUUAUUGGGCGUAAAACGAGCGCAGGCGGAAUGAUAAGUCUGAUGUGAAAGCCCACGGCUCAACCGUGGAACUGCAUCGGAAACUGUCAUUCUUGAGUGCAGAAGAGGAGAGUGGAACUCCAUGUGUAGCGGUGGAAUGCGUAGAUAUAUGGAAGAACACCAGUGGCGAAGGCGGCUCUCUGGUCUGCAACUGACGCUGAGGCUCGAAAGCAUGGGUAGCGAACAGGAUUAGAUACCCUGGUAGUCCAUGCCGUAAACGAUGAGCGCUAGGUGUUGGGGAC